CUAACCCUGCGGUGUGCGUUGUGUGCCGUAUGUUUGAGCCAACACCAACACAUGGGGAGUCCGGUCUCUGGUUGUGGAUUGGUACCUUGUUAAUAGGAACCAUAAAGCACCCAGGAGGGCACCCACCUAUUUGAGCAAAGGUUCAUUAAACUGCGGCAUAUGACGGCAUAUGUGGGGUCAAU
Molecule: non-coding RNA, 182 nt
Filed under: Clostridia bacterium
Lineage: Bacteria; Bacillati; Bacillota; Clostridia
Description: 6S RNA
Rfam family: 6S / SsrS RNA
About the family: E. coli 6S RNA was the first non coding RNA to be sequenced, but its function was unknown until recently. It consists of 184 nucleotides that fold into an extended hairpin structure with a large single-stranded internal bulge.
Source: RNAcentral